RNAcentral lists this ribosomal RNA (350 nucleotides) under uncultured bacterium. Its description in RNAcentral is "partial 16S ribosomal RNA". It matches the Rfam family "Bacterial small subunit ribosomal RNA", at positions 518 to 866 of the family's 1533-position model. The record is from RNAcentral.
CGGUAAUACAUAGGGUGCAAGCGUUGUCCGGAAUUAUUGGGCGUAAAGAGCUCGUAGGUGGUUCGUCAAGUCGGNUGUGAAAAUCUGGGGCUUAACCCCAGACAUGCAUUCGAUACGGGYGAGCUWGAGUAUGGUAGGGGARUCUGGAAUUCCUGGUGUAGCGGUGRAAUGCGYAGAUAUCAGGARGAACACCAAUGGCGAAGGCAGGHCUCUGGGCCAUUACUGACRCUCAKGARCGAAAGCCUGGGGAGCGAACAGGAUUAGAUACCCYGGUAGUCCUCGCCGUAAACGRUGGGCACUAGKUGUGGGGGCCUUCCACGGUCUCUGCGUCGCAGCUAACGCAUUAAGUG